GUGUCAGCAGCCGCGGUAAUACGUAGGGGGCGAGCGUUGUCCGGAGUUACUGGGCGUAAAGCGCACGCAGGCGGUCCAUCGCGUUGGGGGUGACAGCUCUCGGCUUAACCGAAAGAGCGCCUUCAAAACGGAUGGACUUGAGGCAUCGAGAGGGACACGGAAUUCCGGGUGGAGUGGUGAAAUGCGUAGAGAUCCGGAAGAACACCAAAGGCGAAGGCAGUGUCCUGGCGAUGAUCUGACGCUGAGGUGCGAAAGCUAGGGGAGCGAACAGGAUUAGAUACCCGUGUAGUCC
Molecule: ribosomal RNA, 292 nt
Filed under: uncultured bacterium
Lineage: Bacteria
Description: partial 16S ribosomal RNA
Rfam family: Bacterial small subunit ribosomal RNA
Source: RNAcentral